RNAcentral lists this long non-coding RNA (386 nucleotides) under Musa acuminata (dwarf banana). RNAcentral's name for it is "long non-coding RNA (MACU_LNC009581)". The record is from RNAcentral. Lineage: Eukaryota; Viridiplantae; Streptophyta; Magnoliopsida; Zingiberales; Musaceae.
ACAACAUGAUUAAUGCUUAGUAUUAAUUGUCUAGCUCAAGUGUGUUUUACAUGUGCAGGAUUAACUACGAUAGCAAGGCAUGAAGCAAAAUGAAGUCCUGGAGUCAAUGACGCGAUUUCGUUGGGAGUUCGAGAGUUCGUCGGAAGUUCUGUCGGAACCAGCCGAGAAGUCUCGGAGCUUGCCAGAGAAGCUCGUCGGAACUCGCCAAGAAGAUCAUCUUGAAGUCCAAGAGCUUACCGAGAGUCCGCUAGAACAUUGCCGAGAGAUCGUCAGAAGAUCGCUAGAAGCUCGCCAGAAGAAACUAGACUUACAGACUUGUUUAGUUUAGAAUAUGUCUUAGGAAUCGUAGUUAGCACAUAAUUGAGUUUGGAUUUGGGCCAACCCAA